Molecule: unclassified non-coding RNA, 1913 nt
Filed under: Octopus sinensis (East Asian common octopus)
Lineage: Eukaryota; Metazoa; Mollusca; Cephalopoda; Octopoda; Octopodidae
Description: putative sodium-coupled neutral amino acid transporter 8, transcript variant X2
Source: RNAcentral
GAUGGUGAUCGGUUCAGAGAUUGGUUGAUGUAUUGCAAUUGCAGAUGAGCGGAGGAUGCUGUUAUAAAAAGAAAACUGACGCAUGAAGGCCAAAAUGAAUACAAUAACACUGGAUACAUUAAGCGGCAUUCUGUAACACAGGACAAGAUUAUUAACGAUAUUUAACGUCAACUAUUUUCAUGAGUUUUACCUCGAUCUAUAUUCAUAAAAAACUGCAAGGGUUACAGCUAUGAAGCUGGUAAACAAUGGAGAGAUAAUCGAUAUCUUAUAAUACAGAGCUAAAAUGUUUAUUUGUUAAACAAAUGAUUCACUACAAUUUGUAAGAGCAUUGAAAUCGAAUGAUAAUAAUUUAUUAAUGCUAAAAUGUUUAAUUCAUUUUGACUAACAAUGGAAAAUAUAUUUCUGUAUAUAAGAUUGUAACUCUUAGUUUUCUGCAGUAUGUCAUGUACUUUGAAACAUUAAUAUAGGUUGCAUACUUCUCUAAAAUCAUACAAAAUCUGAGUGUAUCUAGGAGAAUUAGUCUGUAUACACUAACUAUUGGUAAAAAAACCCCCAAAAAACUUAUCAUAUUGGAAACAAUAUAAUUAUGUCGGAAAGAUCACAGAUUUUACAUAACAGUGAAAAGGAGCGCAAUUCUGGUUUCAAUGAGCAGAGUAACUUUUACCGUUCAGUAGAUAAGGAUUUGAAUGCUUGUAAUGAUAGUUCCAUUAGUACAACAGAUGAUGAUUCCAGUUCCUUAAUUAACACAACAGAAGCAAAAAAUAAUGCAGAAUCUACGAAGUGUACUGUUGGUUUUCUUUUAGUCAAUGCAACAGUAGGUAUUGGUAUAAUAAAUCUUCCUGAAGCAUAUCAACAAGUAGACAAUUUAGCGUUAGCCAUCAGCAUCCAUUGCAUUAUUUGUGGUUGUUCGUUCAUUUCAAUGUUUAUUGUAGCAUAUGCCUCAGAUAAAACCCAAAGAUCAAGUUAUCAAGAUAUUAUGUUUGAUUUCUAUGGAGAGAAAGGUCGUGCGUUGACAUCUGUAUUUAUUUUUGUUAGUAUAUAUCUUUACUGCACCAGUUUAAUGGUAUUGAUUGGUGACCAAAUAGAAGAAUUUACCAUUUUCCUCGACCAUAACUUUUACUGCAAUCAUCAUGUAUGGUAUACACGAAGAGAGUUCGUAACAGUAAUUAUUAUGAUAAUCCUCCUACCAUUCUGCUUUCACAAAUUUAUUAACUAUCUGAAAUAUAUCAGUACUGUCGGUACUGCAGCAUUUCUGUAUGUCAGCUUAUUGGUUUUUGUGAAAUAUACACAAACACAUUCACCUUCUAGUCCAGUUAAAACGCCACAUGAACGCAGCAAAGCUAUCAUAUAUUUCAUUAUAGAUGUUUUGGUUUGCUACGAGGCACAAGUAAGUUCUGUUCCAAUCUACUCCAGUAUGAAGCAUCGAAAUUUGCGGUCAUAUACCAAGGUCCUGUGCGGAGCUUUUGCUCUCGCUACGUUCUUUUACAUGCUGAUGGGAGUCUUUGGAUCAUUGUCGUUCGGCUCUGAAGUGCACAGUGAUAUCCUCCUUUCAUACAAAAACCCAGACGUACCAGUAUUGAUAGCAGUCAUCCUACUUGCUGUCAAGGGAAUUAGCAGCUACACAAUUAUAUUCUUUCCAGGAAGGUAUUUUUCAGAUCUGCUGUCCGGAGCUUAUGGUGUCAAUACUGGAAAUUUUCCGAUGAAGAAACAGAACGAAAAGAAAAUAUUCAUACUAUCGUAAUUACAUCGUUCUGGAUCGCCUCUAAUACUUUGAUGGCUAUGUUAUUAUCAAAUAUUAGAUAUUUUAUCUCAUUUUUGGGACCAUUCGCCUCUACCCUUACGUUUAUACUCCCAGCUAUCUGCCUCUACCGUUACACCAAAGAUAGAGGGAAUAAAAAAGAAUGGAAAUACAA